CAGCCGCCACGGUAAUACGAAGGGUGCAAGCGUUACUCGGAAUUACUGGGCGUAAAGCGUGCGUAGGUGGUGGUUUAAGUCCGUUGUGAAAGCCCUGGGCUCAACCUGGGAAUUGCAGUGGAUACUGGGUCACUAGAGUGUGGUAGAGGAUAGUGGAAUUUCCGGUGUAGCAGUGAAAUGCGUAGAGAUCGGAAGGAACAUCUGUGGCGAAGGCGACUAUCUGGGCCAACACUGACACUGAGGCACGAAAGCGUGGGGAGCAAACAGGAUUAGAUACCCGUGUAGUCCCUGUCUCUUAUAC
RNAcentral lists this ribosomal RNA (301 nucleotides) under uncultured bacterium. RNAcentral's name for it is "partial 16S ribosomal RNA". It matches the Rfam family "Bacterial small subunit ribosomal RNA", at positions 509 to 807 of the family's 1533-position model. The record is from RNAcentral.